RNAcentral lists this ribosomal RNA (416 nucleotides) under uncultured bacterium. RNAcentral describes it as "bacterial SSU rRNA". It matches the Rfam family "Bacterial small subunit ribosomal RNA", at positions 29 to 424 of the family's 1533-position model. The record is from RNAcentral.
AAUCAACGCUGGCGGCGUGCCUAACACAUGCAAGUCGAACGCGAGAGGGGGCUUCGGCCCCAAUUGAGUGGCGAACGGGUGAGUAACACGUGGGUGAUCUACCUUUGAGUGGGGGAUAACGUUCCGAAAGGAACGCUAAUACCGCAUGACGUUCCGGGUUUGAAGACCUGGAAACCAAAGCCGGGGCCCUUAGGGAAACUUAAGGCCUGGCGCUUGGAGAGGAGCCCGCGCCUGAUUAGCUAGUUGGUGGGGUAACGGCNCACCAAGGCGACGAUCAGUAGCCGGCCUGAGAGGGCGGACGGCCACACUGGGACUGAGACACGGCCCAGACUCCUACGGGAGGCAGCAGUGGGGAAUAUUGCACAAUGGGCGAAAGCCUGAUGCAGCGACGCCGCGUGAGGGAUGACGGCCUGGUU